This 301-nucleotide ribosomal RNA is filed under the name uncultured bacterium. RNAcentral's name for it is "partial 16S ribosomal RNA". It matches the Rfam family "Bacterial small subunit ribosomal RNA", at positions 509 to 808 of the family's 1533-position model. The record is from RNAcentral.
CAGUAGCCGCGGUAAUACGGAGGGGGCAAGCGUUAUCCGGAAUUAUUGGGCGUAAAGGGUACGUAGGUGGCCUUUUAAGCGUAGGGUAUAAGGCAAUGGCUCAACCAUUGUUCGCCCUAUGAACUGGAAGGCUUGAGUGCAGGAGAGGAAAGCGGAAUUCCUAGUGUAGCGGUGGAAUGCAUAGAUAUUAGGAGGAACAUCAGCGGCGAAGGCGGCUUUCUGGACUGCAACUGACACUGAGGUACAAAAGCGUGGGGAGCAAACAGGAUUAGAGACCCGUGUAGUCCCUGUCUCUUAUACA